Molecule: ribosomal RNA, 768 nt
Filed under: uncultured bacterium
Lineage: Bacteria
Description: bacterial SSU rRNA
Rfam family: Bacterial small subunit ribosomal RNA
Source: RNAcentral
GACGAACGCUGGCGGCGUGCCUAAUACAUGCAAGUCGAGCGAAGUUUUUCUGGUGCUUGCACUAGAAAAACUUAGCGGCGAGCGGGUGAGUAACACGUAAAGAACCUGCCUUAUAGACUGGGACAACUAUUGGAAACGAUAGCUAAUACCGGAUAACAGCAUUAACUGCAUGGUUGAUGUUUGAAAGUUGGUUUUGCUAACACUAUGAGAUGGCUUUGCGGUGCAUUAGCUAGUUGGUGGGGUAAAGGCCUACCAAGGCGACGAUGCAUAGCCGACCUGAGAGGGUGAUCGGCCACACUGGGACUGAGACACGGCCCAGACUCCUACGGGAGGCAGCAGUAGGGAAUCUUCCGCAAUGGGCGAAAGCCUGACGGAGCAACGCCGCGUGAGUGAAGAAGGAUUUCGGUUCGUAAAGCUCUGUUGUUAGGGAAGAAUGAUUGUGUAGUAACUAUACACAGUAGAGACGGUACCUAACCAGAAAGCCACGGCUAACUACGUGCCAGCAGCCGCGGUAAUACGUAGGUGGCAAGCGUUGUCCGGAAUUAUUGGGCGUAAAGCGCGCGCAGGUGGUUUAAUAAGUCUGAUGUGAAAGCCCACGGCUCAACCGUGGAGGGUCAUUGGAAACUGUUAAACUUGAGUGCAGGAGAGAAAAGUGGAAUUCCUAGUGUAGCGGUGAAAUGCGUAGAGAUUAGGAGGAACACCAGUGGCGAAGGCGGCUUUUUGGCCUGUAACUGACACUGAGGCGCGAAAGCGUGGGGAGCAAACAGG